UACGGAGGGGGCUAGCGUUGUUCGGAAUUACUGGGCGUAAAGCGCACGUAGGCGGAUUGUCUAGUCAGAGGUGAAAGCCCAGGGCUCAACCCUGGAAUUGCCUUUGAUACUGGCAGUCUGGAGUCCGGGAGAGGUGAGUGGAAUUCCGAGUGUAGAGGUGAAAUUCGUAGAUAUUCGGAGGAACACCAGUGGCGAAGGCGGCUCACUGGCCCGGUACUGACGCUGAGGUGCGAAAGCGUGGGGAGCAAACAGG
This 253-nucleotide unclassified non-coding RNA is filed under the name uncultured Alphaproteobacteria bacterium. Its description in RNAcentral is "contains 16S-23S intergenic spacer region". It matches the Rfam family "Bacterial small subunit ribosomal RNA", at positions 524 to 776 of the family's 1533-position model. Lineage: Bacteria; Pseudomonadati; Pseudomonadota; Alphaproteobacteria. The record is from RNAcentral.